AGCUGAAGAACCGACAGCUUAUUCAUCCAGUGCUGCAACAGGUGAUGGCGGAGGGAGACCUGAAAAGGCAGACAGACGCAUCAGUCAGCAGAAAGAGAAAGCAGAGAGACAGGUGUUAAUGAUAAUGACAGCCCAGUUGGGAUGAAACUCAAU
Myxocyprinus asiaticus (Chinese sucker) is the source of this 153-nucleotide long non-coding RNA. RefSeq lists it as uncharacterized. NCBI's taxonomy places the organism in Eukaryota, Metazoa, Chordata, Actinopteri, Cypriniformes, Catostomidae. The transcript has 3 exons. The record is from RefSeq and is a predicted model, not a curated record.